RNAcentral lists this long non-coding RNA (4504 nucleotides) under Linum usitatissimum (flax). RNAcentral describes it as "long non-coding RNA (LUSI_LNC003884)". Lineage: Eukaryota; Viridiplantae; Streptophyta; Magnoliopsida; Malpighiales; Linaceae. The record is from RNAcentral.
CUUCAUCCACCUCCGCCAUGCUCCCUCCUUCCCCCUCCAUCCCCCUCCAUCCCCGAAUCUGAUUCAGAUCUUGUUUCUGGCCAGGCACCGGCCUCUUGGGCCGUUGGCAAGGGGAGUGUGUCAGACUUGCAACGGGUGGUGGUUCCAGACUCCUUCGUGGUGGAUGGUGUCCUCUCCAUCCCUAAGUCGAACAUUGAAAAAGGCUUGUAGAAAAUGCAUUCGGCGUUGGUUGCCCAGUUUCUUGGAAAGACGCCUCCGAUUAGAGUUAUUUCAUCAAUGGUUAACAGGCUUUGGAUAAUGAAGGUGAAGUUGUUAUUUCUCAAAUAUCCACUUGAUUUUUCCUUACUUAAAUUCCUUCGAUUAAUCUGUGUGUAUGGGUGAUGCGUCAUGUUUGGAAUAUACACCAUUGUCCUAUUAUCUUGAGAAAAUGGUUUGUGGGAACUGCCCCAUUGGAAUUAGAGUCGAAGGACAUCCCAACCUGGAUUACGUUGUGUAAUGUCCCACCACAGUUAAUUACUAAAGAAGCAAUGGGGUGGAUGGUAAGUAGAUUUGGUUCUUAUAUAAAUCAAUUUGUGCGGGAAGUACUUGUAGUGAAGGUGUGUCUACUAAUGGAGAAAUGGCAUUAGUGUCCUACAGUUAUUGAGCUGGAUGUUGAUGGAAUUCGAGCCACCCUUUCUAUUGAACUCCCUAAGGAGCGAAGGUAUGUGAAGAAGAGUGAUGAACCAACAAAUAUGUGGAAGCCAAAAACCCAAUCGAUCGUUAUAGUGACAGUUGGAUCCUCUCAGGGCAAUGAAGCUCAACCUUCUUUGCAAGGGGAGGCUUCACCUAAGAGUUCUAAUGUGUCACAAGUUGGAGGGGAGGUGACUCCUGCCAUUGAGACUUCUUCUAAAGUGGAGAUGGUAGAGACUGCCCAAUAGAUUUUUGUUGUUGAAACCGCAUUGUAGGUAGAGACGCAGAGUUUGUUCCCUAACGUUAGAAAGGAUGCUGGAAUGAAAUUAGUUAACCAGAUUGUGGCCUUGGUUGAAUCAACUCUUCAAGAGGAUGACAGUGACUCUAUAGAAGAAGUGGAGGAAGAGAUUGAAAUGGAGAAACCAAGUGAGCCUUCUAUCCAUACUCCGGGUAGAGCCACGUUGGGGGAUUUUAUUGUGAAGGGUAGUAUACCUCGUCCUAAAGCUAAGAGGGGAGGGAAACGAGGUAAGAAGUAAGGAUGGAGAUUCUAGCAUGGAACCAACAGGGAUUUAAUUCUUCGAAUAAGCAUAAGUAUUAGUAUGUACCUAAAUAAACUUAAUAUAGAUAUAAUAGGUAUUUUGAAGACUCGGGUAGCUUGUAGCAAGGCUAGUAGAAUACUUAUUGAAAUUCUUUUACAAACUAUGUCUAUAGUUCGUUUGGGAUGAUUUGGAUCUUGUGGAGAAACAUAGUUGGAGUCACUGUCAUUAGACACUUUGAGCAAUAUGUCCUUCUGAAAGUUGGUGGUUCUAGUUCAUUUUACAUAUGUUUCGUUUAUGGAGCAAAUAAGGUGAGCGAGAGGAAAAGAAUGUAUGAUCAAACGACGAGGCGUCUGGUUCUGGAUCUCCCGGUAGUAAAUUUGGGUGACUUUAAUGCCAUUACUACUCCUGCUGAGCCUUCUAACUCAGUGGGGGUCUCAAAAGGUAUGAAUGAUUUUAAUGCCUAGAUCAAUGGUAAUGAGUUGGAUGAUCAUGUGGUGGCUCGUCUUUAUUUCACAUGGCACAAUAAUCUCGAUGAUCCAAUAGCUAGAAGGCUUGAUAGAUGUUUUGUCAAUUCCCAUUGAUACGAUCAGUUUGCUAGGGGUAGAGCUGAGCUCCUCGAAUCAGGGGUAUCAGAUCAUAAUGGGAUUUUUCUUGAUAGGGAAGUUAACAUUGGUACGCUUCCUAAACCAUUUAAGUUUUUUUUAACUAUUGGGUGGAUUGGGAUGGCUAUGAUGAUAUUGUGGUGGAGGCUUGGAAUAGGCAGGAUGCUCUUUUCCAUAAAAAAGAAUUUGAGCAGGAGUAUGCCAGAAUGAUAAAUGUUAUAAACUCAUUGAGACAGUUUAGUUCUAUGAGAUUCUCAUAUCUUAGUAGCAGAGUUAAGGCUGCAGAAUGAUAAAUUAAUGAUGAUCAGGUUAUUGCCCUCAACAGUCCUUCUUCUGAGCCCCUUUUGAAAGCAAAAGCUAGUCAUGAAGACUGGCAAAAAUUAAAAGCAGCGGAGGAGAGUUUCUAUUGAAAGAGAGCUAAAGAGAAUUGGCUUUGUUUAGGUGAUUCAAAUACUUUUUUUUCACAAGGCAAUUCAGUUAAAGUAGGCAAGAAAUUAAAUUGUGUAUCUUGAAAAUACUAAUGGAGUCUUGGUGACUGAUUUGACAUUCAUUUCUAAUAUUGCUGUGAAUUACUACACUGAAAUUUUCGGAGUGGUUGAUCCUAAUGUGUUUUGCCCUAGUAUUGACACAAUGAGUAAUCUGCUUUUAAAAAGCUCUCUGAUUCAUUUCAUCUCAAGUUAUGACAAGAGCCCUGGCGCUGAUGGUUUUUCAUUGUGUUUUUUCAAACAUAGCUGAGACCUGAUGAAGAAUGAUAGUUUGGUUGUUGUGUCUCUUUUCUUUGCUACUGGAAAACUCCAUAGAGUGGUUAAUUUCACUACCUUAGUCUUGCUUCCGAAGAAGAUCAAUGCUACAAACAACACAAAUUAUAGACUUAUAGCGUGCUGUAAUGUAAUGUAUAUGAUAAUUACAAUGUUGCUGGCUAAGCGUAUGGUUGAGUAUUUGUCGGAAGUGAUCAAUAAUUCUCAAUUAGAUUUCGUCAAAGGGAGACUAAUUGGGGAUAACAUCUUGCUUGCUCACGAUCUGGUAAAUUCCUAUCACUUAAAGAAUAUUUCUCCUCGUUGUGCCCUUAAGGUUGAUUUACGGAAAGCCUUCGAUUCUGUGCAUCUCUAGUAUCUUUUUGCAUGCUAUGAACUCCCCAGCUAAGUUCAUUAGGUGGAUUCAAGGGUGUUUGGAUACUGUAAUGUAUAGUGUGGGUUUGAAUGGUGGAGUUGUGGGGUACUUCAAUGGAUAAAAGGGCUGAGACAGGGAGAUCCGUUAUCUCAUGCCCUCUUUGUGAUUGCAAUGGAGCUUCUCUAUUGCAUAUGUUGAGAGCAGCUCGGUGCGGAACUAUUUCAUAUCAUCCUAAAUGUAAAAAGUUGGAAAUACUCAGCUCCGCUUUGCUGAUGAUAUCUUGAUUUUCACUAAUGGGACAGAGAAGGGAGUGGUUGGUAUUUUUAAUGUUCUUAGGGAAUUCUAUGGCCUACAGCUUAACCUUGAUAAAACAUUGGUUUUCUUCUCAUCAACUAUUCUGACAGUGACAAGAAAAGCAGUCUUAGAUGCCACGGGAUUCCAGGAGGGGCAGUUGCCAGUUCGUUACCUGGGAGUUUCGUUGAUCUUAGGUAAAUUAUCUACAAAAGACUGUGACUGUUUGACAGAAAAAAUCACUGCAAGGGUGAAGGGUUGGCAGGUUAAAACAUUAAGCUAUGUUGUUCAUCUCCAGUUGAUUAGUUCUAUUCUUAACUCAAUGAGUCAAUACUGGAUGUCUGUGUUUCUGCUACCUAUGAGUGUUAUUCGAGCGGUCGAAAAGAUUUGUAAUGACUUUCUUUGGGAUUUUGGAGAAGGAGGAAGGAAAAAGGCUAAGCUAGCUUGGAAACAUAUUGCAAUGCCAAAGCUUGAAGGGGAGUUUUGGGGUAAGGGAUCUUGUUUGUUGGAACUAUGCAUGUAUUGUUAGACACAUCUAAAGUUUAUUAAUGAAUGUUGGAUCAUUAUGGAUUGCUUGGGUGAGAGUGCAUAGAUUAAAGAGAAGUUCUAUCUUGAAGUUCAAAAUAGCUACUUAUCAAUCUUGGGUAUGGAGGUGAAUUCUGAAAGUUAGAGGUAAGGCAAUUUCCUUUAUCUUCUUUGAUCAAGAUGGUUGCCCACUUUGGCAUGGAACUACAAUGUCUGAGUAUUCAGUCACUAGAGUUUGGGAUACCUCCUAUUAUUCACAAGCACAGUUUCAUCAAUUGGUUAGCAAUCAAUGAUAGACUCACCACUAGAUCGAAGAUGGCGAACUGGGUGUGAAAUUGGACAUUUCUUGUUUGUUGUGUGAUGAAGGGAUGGAUGACAUCAAUCAUAUCUUUAUAAUUGUCAAUACAUCUGCCAGAUUAGGAAGUUCUGUUUUGGGGAUGAUCUGGCUACUGCUAGCUGGGAGGGAGAUGUAAAUGAAGUGAUUAAUCGUUGCUCAGGGGGUUCUGCUGAUAUGUGUUUUUAUAUAUUGAUCUAGAGAGCAAUGAUAGUCGGGGUGUGGUAUGAGCGUUGUAAAAGGAAUGCUCAUGAGAAGGCCUCCUCUUUCCUUAUUUGAGCUCAUAACAUUUGUACGGAAACUCAUUAUGUAACUAGUAGAAGAUAGAAGCUCUAUAGUUGUUUUGUUUUUCUGAGUUUACAGAUUCUGUCUUGGGACCUUAUGGAGCGGAUUUGUCGAUUUGGCAUAUUCGAUUUUGGAUGAAUAAAAAGUGC